This 1418-nucleotide ribosomal RNA is filed under the name uncultured bacterium. RNAcentral's name for it is "bacterial SSU rRNA". It matches the Rfam family "Bacterial small subunit ribosomal RNA". The record is from RNAcentral.
AGAGUUUGAUCCUGGCUCAGGAUGAACGCUGGCGGCGUGCCUAAUACAUGCAAGUCGAACGCACAGCGAAAGGUGCUUGCACCUUUCAAGUGAGUGGCGAACGGGUGAGUAACACGUGGAUAACCUACCUCAAGGUUGGGGAUAACAUUUGGAAACAGAUGCUAAUACCGAAUAAAACUUCGUAUCGCAUGAUACAAGGCUAAAAGGCGCUACGGCGUCACCUAGAGAUGGAUCCGCGGUGCAUUAGUUAGUUGGUGGGGUAAAGGCCUACCAAGACAAUGAUGCAUAGCCGAGUUGAGAGACUGAUCGGCCACAUUGGGACUGAGACACGGCCCAAACUCCUACGGGAGGCUGCAGUAGGGAAUCUUCCACAAUGGGCGAAAGCCUGAUGGAGCAACGCCGCGUGUGUGAUGAAGGCUUUCGGGUCGUAAAGCACUGUUGUAUGGGAAGAACAGCUAGAGUAGGGAAUGACUUUAGUUUGACGGUACCAUACCAGAAAGGGACGGCUAAAUACGUGCCAGCAGCCGCGGUAAUACGUAUGUCCCGAGCGUUAUCCGGAUUUAUUUGGGCGUAAAGCGAGCGCAGACGGUUGAUUAAGUCUGAAGUGAAAACCCCGGAGCUCAACCUCCGGAAAAAAGCAUUGGAAACCUGGUCAACUUUGAAGUGCAGUAAGAGGUAAGGGGAACUCCAUGUGUAGCGGUGGAAUGCGUAGAUAUAUGGAAGAACACCAGCGGCGAAGGCGGCUUACUGGACUGUAACUGACGUUGAGGCUCGAAAGUGUGGGUAGCAAACAGGAUUAGAUACCCUGGUAGUCCACACCGUAAACGAUGAACACUAGGUGUUAGGAGGUUUCCGCCUCUUAGUGCCGAAGCUAACGCAUUAAGUGUUCCGCCUGGGGAGUACGACCGCAAGGUUGAAACUCAAAGGAAUUGACGGGGACCCGCACAAGCGGUGGAGCAUGUGGUUUAAUUUGAAGCAACGCGAAGAACCUUACCAGGUCUUGACAUCCUUUGAAGCUUUUAGAGAUAGAAGUGUUCUCUUCGGAGACAAAGUGACAGGUGGUGCAUGGUCGUCGUCAGCUCGUGUCGUGAGAUGUUGGGUUAAGUCCCGCAACGAGCGCAACCCUUAUUGUUAGUUGCCAGCAUUCAGAUGGGCACUCUAGCGAGACUGCCGGUGACAAACCGGAGGAAGGCGGGGACGACGUCAGAUCAUCAUGCCCCUUAUGACCUGGGCUACACACGUGCUACAAUGGCGUAUACAACGAGUUGCCAACCUGUGAAGGUGAGCUAAUCUCUUAAAGUACGUCUCAGUUCGGACUGCAGUCUGCAACUCGACUGCACGAAGUCGGAAUCGCUAGUAAUCGCGGAUCAGCACGCCGCGGUGAAUACGUUCCCGGGUCUUGCACUCACCGCCCGUCA